RNAcentral lists this ribosomal RNA (637 nucleotides) under Weissella paramesenteroides. RNAcentral describes it as "bacterial SSU rRNA". It matches the Rfam family "Bacterial small subunit ribosomal RNA", at positions 54 to 675 of the family's 1533-position model. The record is from RNAcentral. Lineage: Bacteria; Bacillati; Bacillota; Bacilli; Lactobacillales; Lactobacillaceae.
CUGAUAUGACGAGCUUGCUCUGAUUUGAUUUUAUCUGACAAAGAGUGGCGAACGGGUGAGUAACACGUGGGUAACCUACCUCUUAGCAGGGGAUAACAUUUGGAAACAAGUGCUAAUACCGUAUAAUACCAACAACCGCAUGGUUGUUGGUUGAAAGAUGGUUCUGCUAUCACUAAGAGAUGGACCCGCGGUGCAUUAGCUAGUUGGUAAGGUAACGGCUUACCAAGGCAAUGAUGCAUAGCCGAGUUGAGAGACUGAUCGGCCACAAUGGGACUGAGACACGGCCCAUACUCCUACGGGAGGCAGCAGUAGGGAAUCUUCCACAAUGGGCGCAAGCCUGAUGGAGCAACGCCGCGUGUGUGAUGAAGGGUUUCGGCUCGUAAAACACUGUUAUAAGAGAAGAACGGCACUGAGAGUAACUGUUCAGUGUGUGACGGUAUCUUACCAGAAAGGAACGGCUAAAUACGUGCCAGCAGCCGCGGUAAUACGUAUGUUCCAAGCGUUAUCCGGAUUUAUUGGGCGUAAAGCGAGCGCAGACGGUUAUUUAAGUCUGAAGUGAAAGCCCUCAGCUCAACUGAGGAAUGGCUUUGGAAACUGGAUGACUUGAGUGCAGUAGAGGAAAGUGGAACUCCAUGUG